RNAcentral lists this long non-coding RNA (672 nucleotides) under Phascolarctos cinereus (koala). RNAcentral describes it as "lncRNA (ENSPCIG00000025492.2)". The record is from RNAcentral. Lineage: Eukaryota; Metazoa; Chordata; Mammalia; Diprotodontia; Phascolarctidae.
UAAGAGCCUCCCAGGUCUGACAUUCCCUGUUCUGAGGCCCCUCCUACUCUGACAUUCCCUGUUCUAAGGCCCCUCCCAGCCCUGACAUUCCCUGUUCUGAGGCCCCUCCCACUCUGACAUUCCCUGUUCUAAGGCCCCUCCCAGCUCUGACAUUCUCUGUUCUAAGAGCCCUGGCAGCUCCUAUAUUCCAUGUUCUAACCUCUCAGGUCCGAUGUGCUAUGAAUCCAUGAAUCUGUGCUCCAUUUCAUCCCGAUCUCUCCAGAACCCUAAGGACCAGGGAAUUUGGGGCUGUGCUAAGAACCAGACCUGGGUUCUCAGAUAGGAGGCACACAGUACAGCUCUGCGCUCCCACGGCUCCCUGACUCACCUUCUGAUCGCCGUCCCUGGCCCUCCGAUCCACCUCCCUAGUGGCCAGCGAGAUAGGCCUGAAGCACAGCUCCGCCCACACGCUCUGGCCUGAUCCAGGAAACAGGGUCAGCGACCACCUUCGGAAGCCCCUCUGCCCUGCGCUGCGGCUCACCUUCACCUCCGUCUACUGGACAGCUCCUAACGAGUCCUUCCCUCCCCCCACCUUCCCCGAAGCUCAGGCCUGACUGUGGCGCUGCUGUGCCCCAUGACACCCUGCAGCUUCCUACUCCUUCUAGUUUCUGGAGCACAACAGACGUUAAUAAA